GAAGAGGGGGGCUCAACUGCACUGAACGCCCCUCUCUUGCUUAAAACAAGUCCCUGAGCUGCCCUGAGGGGAACAUCCACCUCCGUGAACAUUUCAGAGGAUGCCAAGAGGGAGCUGGAGCUGUUAGAGCAAUAUCUCUCGUACAAGUUUGGGUGGCUCUAGCUCAGCAGGACACAAGCUUGUUUGUUUGCAGCCUCAGAUUUGGGAUGUAAAUAUUUCCUUUGGGAAGGGAAACAGGUCUCCCCUGAAUAAUUCAUGUUUUUUUCCUUAAUUACUCAAUAAUAGGUGCCUGCCCUUCUGUAUUGAAAUCUUGGAUAAAAUGCCAACAGUGUGUUAUGUCUCUAAAUCUCAUUUUCAGAAGUAGUUUGAGGCUAAAUUUUCAAGGUUAUGAAAGCAUCUUAAGAUAGAGAUAGCAAUUUUCGAGGCCAGUAAUUAAGCUGGGCAUCCAAUUCCCCAGGAGCACAACCUCUGUAGGCAUUUUUGUAAAUGUAUGUUUUGGCACCUAAUGACCUUGGCAUCUCUCUCAAGAACAGAGGACUGAGGGAGUUUGGAUGACUUCCUGUGGCUAAAUUGCAGUGUAAGCUUUUGUUAAAUAGGAAAUGCAAAAAUGGUCUUUUAGCAUGUUUAUUUGGUUAGCUGCUCACUUAUGAUAUAGCAGAAAAGACAGGUCUUGUAAAAAGCUGAAGUGACAACUGAACCAGUCUUGUCCUUUUUUUUUUUUUUUUAAGAAAAAAUAUGUUGUGUCCUGUAUUUCUUUUAUUUCGUUUAAAAUUUCCUGUCUGAGGCCAUGCUACCAACUCAAUAUGGUAUCAUUGAAAUAUAUGUAGUUAAAUUAGUUUUACAUUAUUAAUUCCUUAGAAAGUCUGAAAUGCAGCUAACAAAUACGAGAUCUUUUCUGCUUGGUCCUCCCAGCUGCACACCACUCCACUUGCUUUGGCAGAUCCCCAGCAUGGUUAGGUGUCCUCUCUGCUUUCUGCCCUCAACGUGUUUUCUGGAUCAGGGCUUUUGACAAGUAGAGAGGGGGUGAGUGUCAUGUUCAAGAGCUCCACUUCAUUAAGAAGAAGUUGAAGCAGUGUAAAUCAGCAUUAUUGCACUGACCACGGUAGCGGAAUAUUUGUUUUGGUUAGUUGAAAUUCUGAUCUGGUUGAGAAUAAAAGAUGAAGUUCAGAUGAAUAUUUUAAUAUGUUAAUUGAGGAUUUCUUACAUAAAUUGUCUCAUUCUUUAAUGAAAUAGUGCUUUUGUUUACAGACUUGUGUACAUGUAUGUACAUCUUUAUUUUAUGGUCAAUUAAAAUGAAUAAUAGAAACUAGGAUAACUUAAUAGAAUGAUUUAAAUAAUAGGAUGUAUCAGAACUUGUGUUGUUUCAGUUUCCAUUAGACCGGAGCCUGAGCCCCCCUCCCCCCCCCCGCUCCACUGUAGCCUGAUAGCAGCCUUCUGAAUGAGCAAAUCCUGUCCCCUCUCUCCCUUCUGGGGACAGUCAGUGCACCAGGAGCUUUCUGUCCCCUCUGGUUCAGCGCAGCGAGCUGGCUCAGUCCCAGCAAGAGCAUGGCCGAGUCAGCAGGUGCUGAGAGCAGAGUUAAUUCUGCUGCCUGGCCUCAGCUCAGGGAUCAACAUGUUGGAUAUUAUCUAUGAUACAGACUUGCCCUAAGGCUCGAGUCUUUAAAUGUAUUUAGGAACUUUAAUAUGCAAGUAAUUCCUGAUGGACUUGCCCAAGGUCACAGAUGAGGGCUGGGAAGCAGCAAAUGCUGUAACCCUUUCUGAAGACACAGGGCAUUUAUGGGAAUUGAAAAGCAUAUUGGGCACUGCUAGAACUCUGGGAAAAGAAAAAUACUUAAUCUGGAAAAGUGAACAAUAGUUUAUUCACAU
Molecule: long non-coding RNA, 1866 nt
Organism: Oxyura jamaicensis (ruddy duck)
Lineage: Eukaryota; Metazoa; Chordata; Aves; Anseriformes; Anatidae
Exons: 3
Source: RefSeq, a predicted model, not a curated record